Molecule: ribosomal RNA, 423 nt
Filed under: uncultured bacterium
Lineage: Bacteria
Description: bacterial SSU rRNA
Rfam family: Bacterial small subunit ribosomal RNA
Source: RNAcentral
AAGACCUUGCGCUUUUGGAGCGGCCGAUGUCUGAUUAGCUAGUUGGUGGGGUAAUGGCUUACCAAGGCUUCGAUCAGUAGUUGGUCUGAGAGGACGACCAGCCACACUGGGACUGAGACACGGCCCAGACUCCUACGGGAGGCAGCAGUGGGGAAUUUUGGACAAUGGGGGCAACCCUGAUCCAGCCAUGCCGCGUGAGUGAAGAAGGCCUUCGGGUUGUAAAGCUCUUUCAGCCGGGAAGAAAAGGUCACGACUAAUACUCGUGAUCCAUGACGGUACCGAAAGAAGAAGCACCGGCUAACUACGUGCCAGCAGCCGCGGUAAUACGUAGGGUGCGAGCGUUAAUCGGAAUUACUGGGCGUAAAGGGUGCGCAGGCGGUUUUGUAAGUCAGAUGUGAAAUCCCCGGGCUUAACCUGGGAACU